This is a long non-coding RNA of Magnolia sinica, 284 nucleotides long. RefSeq lists it as uncharacterized. Lineage: Eukaryota; Viridiplantae; Streptophyta; Magnoliopsida; Magnoliales; Magnoliaceae. The record is from RefSeq and is a predicted model, not a curated record. The transcript has 3 exons.
CAACUAGCAUGGGAUUGUUGCCGAAGCAGAUUUUUAGUUAAGAACCCAUCCCUGAAGGAGCUAUAUCCACUCCAGGCCGGUAUGUGGCUCUAGAAGUUUUCCUAAAUGAGGAAUACAACACAAAAGUGGAUGUUUUUUCAUUUGCGUUAAUUCUACAAUAGUAGAAAGAGAUAUGGAGCUGUUGGUGAGAAAUGAACAUGUAGCCAUCCAAUCCAAGGCCCAAUGUGUGGAAGUUGACUUGUAGCCAUCCAAUUUUGUUGAUGGAAAUGUAAUAGUUCCAUUAU